AGGGUAGUAGCUCAAUUGGUAGAGUAGCGGUCUCCAAAACCGUUGGUUCCGAGUUCGAGUCUCGGCUGCCCUGCCA
RNAcentral lists this transfer RNA (76 nucleotides) under Akkermansiaceae bacterium UBA1506. Its description in RNAcentral is "tRNA-Trp(cca)". It matches the Rfam family "tRNA". From Rfam's summary of the family: Transfer RNA (tRNA) molecules are approximately 80 nucleotides in length. Lineage: Bacteria; Pseudomonadati; Verrucomicrobiota; Verrucomicrobiia; Verrucomicrobiales; Akkermansiaceae. RNAcentral also lists the same sequence under 2 other names. The record is from RNAcentral.